RNAcentral lists this ribosomal RNA (696 nucleotides) under Olea europaea subsp. europaea. Its description in RNAcentral is "Bacterial large subunit ribosomal RNA". It matches the Rfam family "Bacterial large subunit ribosomal RNA", at positions 624 to 1296 of the family's 2925-position model. Lineage: Eukaryota; Viridiplantae; Streptophyta; Magnoliopsida; Lamiales; Oleaceae. The record is from Rfam by way of RNAcentral.
CGAUCCAUGGGGGUCAGGGCGUUAUAAUUAAGCCAUAGCGAAAGUGAGUCUUCAUAGAGCAAUUGUCACUACUUAUGGACUCAAACCUGUGUGAUCUAUCCAUGAUCGGGAUGAAGUUUGUAUGAAACUAAGUGGAGGUUCAAACCGACUGAUGUUGAAGAAUCAGCGAAUGAGUUGUGAUUAGGUGUGAAAUGCCACUUGAACACAAAGCUAGCUGGUUCUUCUCAAAAUACAUUGAGGCGUAGCAAUUGAUUGGACAUCUAGGGGUAAAACACUGUCUAGGUGCAGUUUGUAAGAGCGGUAUCAAAUCGAGGUAAACUCUGAAUAUUAUAUAUGACCUCAAAAUAACAGGGGUUAAGAUCGGCCAGUGAGACGAUGGGGAAUAAGCUUCAUCGUCGAAAGAGAAACAGUCCAGAUCACUAGCUAAGGUCUCUAAAUGAUCGCUCUGUGAUAAAGGAGGUACGGGUGGAGGGAUAGUCAGGAGCUUUUAGAAUAUUAACUAUGCUCUCAAAGAAGUACUGAAUUUUGAGUAUUGACUAUUGCUCUUGAAGAUGCAUUUUGAAUCAAUUUUGUUGCUGUAAUCUUGAAAUAGCACAAUUCUCGAAAAAUAUUAUACAAUCUAACUGCAGUUCUUGAUUAUUCAUGAUGUGUUGAAAGUUAAUUCUUUAUGAAGAAAAAGCCACUGACGUAAAAAUG